CCCAUGUCAGAUUUGCUCUAAAUGCUUUGGUUUUUGAGUUAUAAGCCAAAAACUGCAUUUUACCCCUAUGUUCUAUUUUUAGCCAUGGCAGCCAUCUUGGUUGGUUGGCGGGUCACGCCACACAUUUUUUAAACUAUAUACCCCAAAAAUAAUUGUGGCUAAGUUUGGUUAAGUUUGGCCCAGUAGUUUCAGAGGAGAAGAUUUUUGUAAAAGAUUACAAAAAUUUACGAAAAAUUGGUCAAAAUUGACUAUAAAGGGCAAUAACUCCUUAAGGGGUCAUCUGACCAUUUUAGUCAUUUCAACUUAUUUGUAGAUCUUACUUUGCUGAACAUUAUUGCUGAUUACAUUUUAUCUCUUUCUAUAAUAAUAUUCAAG
RNAcentral lists this long non-coding RNA (375 nucleotides) under Mytilus galloprovincialis (Mediterranean mussel). The record is from RNAcentral. Lineage: Eukaryota; Metazoa; Mollusca; Bivalvia; Mytilida; Mytilidae.